Molecule: long non-coding RNA, 1179 nt
Organism: Melopsittacus undulatus (budgerigar)
Lineage: Eukaryota; Metazoa; Chordata; Aves; Psittaciformes; Psittaculidae
Exons: 2
Source: RefSeq, a predicted model, not a curated record
UGUGUGUGUGUGUGUGUGUAUGUGUGAACGCCCGGGACGGCAGAACCAGAGCUACUGGUAAUUCUGCUUUCCUUCCCCCCCUCUCCCGGCUCCGCAGCCAGCCGCCGAGGUAGGACAGGUAGAGCCCCCUCCCCCUCGCAUGUGGGGCUCGCCGGGCAGAGAGCGGCCGGGCCGGGCGCGCACAGGUAACUUUCCGAGUGGCGCUGGAUUCUUUCACUAAAGGCGCGGGGCAGAGGGACGAGCCGCCAGCUGAUUGGGCGGCGCGGCCCGGCAGGUGCGCUGCCAUUGGAAGAGGCGCGCACAGAGGCCAUCACCUCUGACAGCUGGGAGACUCAACACAGCACCUAGGAUGAAGCUAUGGUGAGACUGAAUCGUGUUAUGGAGGCAGAAGUGUCGUCAGAUCAUGUCAUUCACUGUGACAGCGUGUAGGUACUGUGGCCUUCACCCCAAAGCACAUACAGUCCAAGCCAGAUUGCUUGUAAAGAGGAGGGUUGCAGUAAAUCAGGGGCAUCUGUGCUAUUUGGAAUGUUGUGAUUUAUAGCUGUAUUUUUUUCAAUAAAGCCAUUAUUUCUUUCAUUGCAUUUGGAUGUAGAAACAUACAAAACCCCACAGUAAGAGCAGGCUGCCCUUCCAUGGAUGCAGGGGAAUGUAUUUUUUGUGCAAUUAGCCAGGAGGAUCAAGCCUUAUGGUGAUGGGGCAGUUUGAUCUGAGCUGCUUUCUGUAGCUGGCCUAUUCAGAAAGCACUAAGCUUUGCCCAAGUCUUUACAGCCUCACUGGGCAACAGUAACAGGCUUCUGCCUAUGGCUGUGUGCAGAGACCCUCCUGUUCCAGAGGAGCUGAUCUUGUUAAUGCUCUACAGAGCAAGUCUGAGCAGGGUGAAUUGAAGAGGAAAUGCCAGUUCCAGCCCUCACAGAUGGCUCUGGGCUAUUUUGUACACGAACUUUUUCAUCCUCGGGAGGUUUUGCAUAUUAAUUCCUUCCAUCCACAAACUCCUUCUGGAUCAGCACUGUGCUGCCAAGAUCUUGGAAAGCCACCCGACUUGUGUGAUUUGGGAGAUGUGAGCUAUGCUGUGUUUAUUGGUCUGCCUGCUCUGCUCUCCUGUUCUGAUAAUCCUCUGGUCUCCUGCAGGUAUUAACACAUACAAGAAAGCUUCGUCACAAUAAACAAUAGCCAAACAUG